This 76-nucleotide small RNA is filed under the name Xanthomonas hortorum. RNAcentral's name for it is "sX9 sRNA". It matches the Rfam family "Xanthomonas sRNA sX9". The record is from RNAcentral. Lineage: Bacteria; Pseudomonadati; Pseudomonadota; Gammaproteobacteria; Lysobacterales; Lysobacteraceae. RNAcentral also lists the same sequence under 2 other names.
AUGUACCACUCGUACACUCCGGUUCCUGCGCGCCGUCCUCACCCGCCUGACGGCUGCUCGCUACGUUUUUUUAGCC